Erigeron canadensis is the source of this 2132-nucleotide long non-coding RNA. RefSeq lists it as uncharacterized. The transcript is spliced from 8 exons. The record is from RefSeq and is a predicted model, not a curated record. NCBI's taxonomy places the organism in Eukaryota, Viridiplantae, Streptophyta, Magnoliopsida, Asterales, Asteraceae.
GACCGUCUCACCUCAUAUCCCGGCAACCUCCAACACCCCCCAAGCUACCGUCACCUCCACUUCGCAGCCCCCAUCCACCUGCCGCGGUGGGCGACUUAAAGACAAUGUAGUACAUAUGGACAGUGGCAUUGAUAGGAUCAUGUUGGUGAGAUUGGUGAUCGAAGAGGAGACCUUUUAGCAGGUAUGUUCGCCAACCACUCCUAGGAGUUUGAAAGCUGAGACUCACUAGAUAGAUUAUGAGGGGUAGCCCAGAGGCUCAACGAUUAAUAUUAGGAGAUAAUUUAAACGGACAUAUAUGAGGGGAAGCAUACAAUGUACUUGGGCGCACAUGCUGGUUUCUGGUUUGGAGUAAGGAAUGAAGGACAUACGCUACUUGAGUUUGCUACCACCACACGACUUGGUUGUCGCAACUUUUUCUUUAAGUAGAGAGGCACCCAACUGAUAUUCUUCCAGAGUGGACAACAUAGUACAUAGAUCGAAUAUAUCCUAGUGCGUAAACGCGAGAUUAGGGUAUGCAGAGACUGCAAAGUUCUUCCUAGAGAGGCUUGCUACUCCCAACAUAAAACUUUGGUCAAACUGUCAAAGACAGUAUAAGCACACGCUUGUUGCAUGACCCAUGGAGAUGAUGCCGGACUAAUGCUUCCUCCAAGGUUGGCUUUUGUACAGGUGGUGCUUGUACAGCUGUGCUGAUUUGGAAGAAGGCUAAUGAAAAGAUUGAAGUUCUUGAUGCUGCUCUGUCCAUCAAAGAUGUACUUCAUAAUGCUGGGACUAAGUAAAACUAGCUGAUUCUGAUCAAAGAACACCAGGAUGGAAAAUUAAUUUCUAGGAAAUGAAGGGUAUUCCUCUAUGAAUUGAAAUUGGUCCUUGUGAUGUUUCCAGCAGGAGUGUGGUCAUAUCUGGAAGAGCUAUUCAUGGAAAACCAGGGAAGGUUUUUGGAAUAUCUAUGGAACCUUCAGUACUCUUACCCAAUGUCAAAUAAAAGUCGGAUGCGGUUCAAUUACCCCUUUUGGAUAAAGCAUCUUCUCUCCAACAUAGUGAUCAAGAUGAUGGUGAAGAAAACAUAGGUGCAACCUUUAGAUGUUUUCCUUCCAAUUAACCUCAAGGGUCAAAGAACUUCCUUAUGACGGGUAGUCCUGCAGACGCAGUUAUAGUUUUUGCUAAAUCUUACUGAACAACUGUCCUAUUCAUAAUCAGGUCCACAUUCUAUUCUUAGAGUAUAAGUAUGAAAUAAUCCAAUUAUCUUCUGCGGGCCGCAUUUUCUCUUUGAGCAUUGAAGUAGACAGCAGCAACCGGUGACCCUAGGUCAUUUUCUUGAGAGAAGGCACGAGUAUUGAAAUUAUCACGAGAAACAGGAAGUUAUUAUGUCUAAAGCUUAUUGGAUGAAUUAUAAUACAUUGCAAAUCAAGAAUAAAGUUUCAUUGAUACACGUGAGCCGCGACAAAAAAAGGGUGACAAGUGUCUUGUUCUGAAUGAAUGAGCUUCAAAGUUACAGAUGCAUGAAAACGAAAUCUGACAUCCAAAAGGAGUAUCUUGAGCUUAGUGGAAAAUAUCUUGAUUUCAGAAAAGAACGGGGCGAAUUGUAUUAGGUUAGAGAUGGCAAGAUGAGUGAGUGGGCACAAGGGUUCCUUAGACCAUCCACAACAAGGAUGUCCAUAGGAAAUUUGUGGUGACAUGUAGGGUGUUUGUAGAAAGACUAUUGAUGUGAGUGGUGACAUGGAGGAUGUUCAUCCAUGGUUGUUUGUAGAGAAGGAUGAGGAAGAAUGAGGAGAGAUAAAGGUAAACGACAAAAGUUACUUUGGAAUUUAUUUGGUUGUUUGUAAGAAGGAUGUAUAUAUUAUUGUUGUGGGUAAAAAGUGUUUGUGGGAAUGAUGGAUGAAAAGCUGACGUAGCAUGUUGAUUAGGAUGUUUGUUAGAAGGAUAUCCUGAACUAAUGCGGAUAGUCUUAUGGAUCAUAAGGGUUCAUGCUUAAUAUGGGUCAUUUUCAGUAAAGGUGGACACAUGCCUGUUCAGGUUGAAUCACAAAUUUUAUUUUGUUCAUUUUUUUGAAACUUCGAUAUGUGUUUAUUAUAGAUACAUGAAUCAGAAAUUUGCAAUAAUAUAAUCUAAAUCUCAUGUUGGGGAUUUUUGCUGUA